This 494-nucleotide ribosomal RNA is filed under the name uncultured bacterium. RNAcentral's name for it is "bacterial SSU rRNA". It matches the Rfam family "Bacterial small subunit ribosomal RNA", at positions 567 to 1061 of the family's 1533-position model. The record is from RNAcentral.
GCAUGCGGGUGGUUCAUUAAGGCAGAUGUGAAAGACCGGGGGCGGCCUCGGAACUGCAUUUGAAACUGGUGAACUAGAGUACUGUAGAGGGGGGUAGAAUUUCAGGUGUAGCGGUGAAAUGCGUAGAGAUCUGAAGGAAUACCAGUGGCCAAUGCGGCCCCCUGGACAGAUACUGACGCUCAGAUGCGAAAGCGUGGGGAGCAAACAGGAUUAGAUACCCUGGUAGUCCACGCCGUAAACGAUGUCUACUUGGAGGUUGUGGCCUUGAGCCGUGGCUUUCGGAGCUAACGCGUUAAGUAGACCGCCUGGGGAGUACGGUCGCAAGAUUAAAACUCAAAUGAAUUGACGGGGGCCCGCACAAGCGGUGGAGCAUGUGGUUUAUUACGAUGCAACGCGAAGAACCUUACCUACUCUUGACAUCCAGAGAAGCCUGCGGAGACCCACGUGUGCCUUCGGGAGCUCUGAGACAGGUGCUGCAUGGUUGUCGUCAGCUC